AACGCUGGCGGCAGGCCUAACACAUGCAAGUCGAGCGGUAGCACAGAGAGCUUGCUCUCGGGUGACGAGCGGCGGACGGGUGAGUAAUGUCUGGGAAACUGCCUGAUGGAGGGGGAUAACUACUGGAAACGGUAGCUAAUACCGCAUAAUGUCGCAAGACCAAAGUGGGGGACCUUCGGGCCUCAUGCCAUCAGAUGUGCCCAGAUGGGAUUAGCUAGUAGGUGGGGUAACGGCUCACCUAGGCGACGAUCCCUAGCUGGUCUGAGAGGAUGACCAGCCACACUGGAACUGAGACACGGUCCAGACUCCUACGGGAGGCAGCAGUGGGGAAUAUUGCACAAUGGGCGCAAGCCUGAUGCAGCCAUGCCGCGUGUGUGAAGAGAGGCCUUCGGGUUGUAAAGCACUUUCAGCGGGGAGGAAGGCGUUAAGGUUAAUAACCUUGUCGAUUGACGUUACCCGCAGAAGAAGCACCGGCUAACUCCGUGCCAGCAGCCGCGGUAAUACGGAGGGUGCAAGCGUUAAUCGGAAUUACUGGGCGUAAAGCGCACGCAGGCGGUCUGUCAAGUCGGAUGUGAAAUCCCCGGGCUCAACCUGGGAACUGCAUUCGAAACUGGCAGGCUAGAGUCUUGUAGAGGGGGGGUAGAAUUCCAGGUGUAGCGGUGAAAUGCGUAGAGAUCUGGAGGAAUACCGGUGGCGAAGGCGGCCCCCUGGACAAAGACUGACGCUCAGGUGCGAAAGCGUGGGGAGCAAACAGGAUUAGAUACCCUGGUAGUCCACGCCGUAAACGAUGUGGAUUUGGAGGUUGUGCCCUUGAGGCGUGGCUUCCGGAGCUAACGCGUUAAAUCGACCCGCAUGGGGAGUACGGCCGCAAGGUUAAAACUCAAAUGAAUUGACGGGGGCCCGCACAAGCGGUGGAGCAUGUGGUUUAAUUCGAUGCAACGCGAAGAACCUUACCUGGUCUUGACAUCCACAGAACUUUCCAGAGAUGGUUUGGUGCCUUCGGGAACUGUGAGACAGGUGCUGCAUGGCUGUCGUCAGCUCGUGUUGUGAAAUGUUGGGUUAAGUCCCGCAACGAGCGCAACCCUUAUCCUUUGUUGCCAGCGGUUAGGCCGGGAACUCAAAGGAGACUGCCAGUGAUAAACUGGAGGAAGGUGGGGAUGACGUCAAGUCAUCAUGGCCCUUACGACCAGGGCUACACACGUGCUACAAUGGCAUAUACAAAGAGAAGCGACCUCGCGAGAGCAAGCGGACCUCAUAAAGUAUGUCGUAGUCCGGAUUGGAGUCUGCAACUCGACUCCAUGAAGUCGGAAUCGCUAGUAAUCGUAGAUCAGAAUGCUACGGUGAAUACGUUCCCGGGCCUUGUACACACCGCCCGUCACACCAUGGGAGUGGGUUGCAAAAGAAGUAGGUAGCUUAACCUUCGGGAGGG
Molecule: ribosomal RNA, 1429 nt
Filed under: Klebsiella pneumoniae
Lineage: Bacteria; Pseudomonadati; Pseudomonadota; Gammaproteobacteria; Enterobacterales; Enterobacteriaceae
Description: bacterial SSU rRNA
Rfam family: Bacterial small subunit ribosomal RNA
Source: RNAcentral